UAAAGCUAGCCCAAACAUCUACAAACACAACUAACACCAGAAAAUAAAACAAAACAUUUAGUCACCUUAUAAAAGUAUAGGAGAUAGAAAUUUAACUUGGCGCUAUAGAGAAAGUACCGCAAGGGAAAGAUGAAAGAUAAAAUUAAAAGCACCACACAGCAAAGAUUACCCCUUGUACUUUUGCAAAUGGGUAGCUAGACCACCNUACCAAGAGACUUCAGCUGGNCCCCCGAAACCAGACGAGCUACCCAUGACCAUCUAUUACAGGAUGAACUCGUCUAUGUUGCAAAAUAGUGAGAAGAUUUGUGGGUAGAGGUGAAAAGCCUAACGAGCCUGGUGAUAGCUGGUUGCCCAGAACAGAAUCUUAGUUCAACUUUAAACUUACCUCAAAAACCUAAAAUUCCAAUGUAAGUUUAAAAUAUAGUCUAAAAAGGUACAGCUUUUUAGACCUAGGAUACAGCCUUUAUUAGAGAGUAAGCAUAAAUAUAAACCAUAGUUGGCCUAAAAGCAGCCAUCAAUUAAGAAAGCGUUCAAGCUCAACAAUCAAAGCAUCUUAAUGUCAAAAAUAAUGCAACCAACUCCUAACCUAAAACUGGGCUAAUCUAUUUAAUAAUAGAAGCAAUAAUGCUAAUAUGAGUAACAAGAAAUACUUCUCCCUGCAUAAGCUUAUAUCAGAACGGAUAACCACUGAUAGUUAACAACAAGAUAUAUAUAACCUAACCAUAAACAAAAUAUCAAAUUAAUUGUUAACCCAACACAGGUAUGCAAAUUAGGGAAAGAUUAAAAGAAGUAAAAGGAACUCGGCAAA
This 808-nucleotide ribosomal RNA is filed under the name Felis catus (domestic cat). RNAcentral's name for it is "partial 16S ribosomal RNA". The stretch from base 158 to 808 matches the Rfam family "Bacterial large subunit ribosomal RNA", at positions 569 to 1721 of the family's 2925-position model. The record is from RNAcentral. Lineage: Eukaryota; Metazoa; Chordata; Mammalia; Carnivora; Felidae.